UCUCCGUAGGUGAACCUGCGGAGGGAUCAUUACAGAGUUCAUGAUCUACCGGGUAGACCCUUCAGCCAAUGUUUUUAUUACUUUGUUGCCUUGCCCCGCCGUUCGGUACCGGCCCGACUACCGGCCCCGGCUGAUACGUGCCCGGCAGAGGAUCCAAAACCAUGUAUAGUAGUGUCGUCUGUGUACUUUAUAAUAGUUAAAACUUUCAACAACGGAUCUCUUGGUUCUG
RNAcentral lists this unclassified non-coding RNA (229 nucleotides) under plant metagenome. Its description in RNAcentral is "partial contains small subunit ribosomal RNA, internal transcribed spacer 1, and 5.8S ribosomal RNA". The record is from RNAcentral.